UGGCGAACGGGUGAGUAACGCGUGAGGAACCUGCCUCAAAGAGGGGGACAACAGUUGGAAACGACUGCUAAUACCGCAUAAGCCCACGGGUCGGCAUCGACCUGAGGGAAAAGGAGCAAUCCGCUUUGAGAUGGCCUCGCGUCCGAUUAGCUAGUUGGUGAGGUAACGGCCCACCAAGGCGACGAUCGGUAGCCGGAUGAGAGGUUGAACGGCCACAUUGGGACUGAGACACGGCCCAG
Molecule: ribosomal RNA, 239 nt
Filed under: uncultured bacterium
Lineage: Bacteria
Description: partial 16S ribosomal RNA
Rfam family: Bacterial small subunit ribosomal RNA
Source: RNAcentral